GAGCAUUGUGUGGCAUUUGUGUAGUGCAAAGGAUUGGCAAAUACAACAGCUUCCCCCUUGACUACUCAGUGGAACGGUUUUUAUCCCGAUCACCAUCAACAUCAAAUCAAAGGUGCAGUGGGGGCAAGGCUGCUCUCAGGUCAGAUCAAACCCGCGGCCAUGGAUGUGGAUGAGGAGGAGAAUAUGAAUCCUGCAACGAAGGCGUUGUAAGUUACUCUUUCUGGGCACCGCAGGUUCGAGCAGCACAGAUGUUAAGGAAAACCGAAACCUG
Notothenia coriiceps (black rockcod) is the source of this 271-nucleotide long non-coding RNA. RefSeq lists it as uncharacterized. The record is from RefSeq and is a predicted model, not a curated record. NCBI's taxonomy places the organism in Eukaryota, Metazoa, Chordata, Actinopteri, Perciformes, Nototheniidae. The transcript has 4 exons.